RNAcentral lists this transfer RNA (67 nucleotides) under Candidatus Ureaplasma intestinipullorum. It matches the Rfam family "tRNA". Rfam says of the family: Transfer RNA (tRNA) molecules are approximately 80 nucleotides in length. The record is from RNAcentral. Lineage: Bacteria; Bacillati; Mycoplasmatota; Mycoplasmoidales; Mycoplasmoidaceae.
AGGUGUAGUUUAAUGGCAAAACCAUGGUCUCCAAAACUAUAUUUAUGGGUUCGAUUCCUAUCACCUC